GAUGAAGAACGUAGCGAAAUGCGAUAAGUAAUGUGAAUUGCAGAAUUCAGUGAAUCAUCGAAUCUUUGAACGCACAUUGCGCCCGCCAGUAUUCUGGCGGGCAUGCCUGUUCGAGCGUCACUACAACCCUCAGGCCCCCGGGCCUGGCGUUGGGGAUCGGCGGAAGCCCCCUGCGGGCACAACGCCGUCCCCCAAAUACAGUGGCGGUCCCGCCGCAGCUUCCAUUGCGUAGUAGCUAACACCUCGCAACUGGAGAGCGGCGCGGCCACGCCGUAAAACACCCAACUUCUGAAUGUUGACCUCGAAUCAGGUAGGAAUACCCGCUGAACUUAAGCAUAUCAAUAAGCGGAGGA
This 353-nucleotide unclassified non-coding RNA is filed under the name soil metagenome. RNAcentral describes it as "partial contains 5.8S ribosomal RNA, internal transcribed spacer 2, and large subunit ribosomal RNA". The stretch from base 1 to 120 matches the Rfam family "5.8S ribosomal RNA", at positions 35 to 154 of the family's 154-position model. The record is from RNAcentral.